GUGGGGAAUAUUGGACAAUGGGCGCAAGCCUGAUCCAGCCAUGCCGCGUGAGUGAUGAAGGCCUUAGGGUUGUAAAGCUCUUUCGUCAGGGAAGAUAAUGACGGUACCUGAAGAAGAAGCCCCGGCUAACUUCGUGCCAGCAGCCGCGGUAAUACGAAGGGGGCUAGCGUUGCUCGGAAUCACUGGGCGUAAAGCGCACGUAGGCGGCUUUCUAAGUCAGGGGUGAAAUCCUGGAGCUCAACUCCAGAACUGCCUUUGAUACUGGAGAGCUUGAGUUCGGGAGAGGUGAGUGGAACUGCGAGUGUAGAGGUGAAAUUCGUAGAUAUUCGCAAGAACACCAGUGGCGAAGGCGGCUCACUGGCCCGAUACUGACGCUGAGGUGCGAAAGCGUGGGGAGCAAACAGGAUUAGAAACCCUUGUAGUCC
RNAcentral lists this ribosomal RNA (425 nucleotides) under uncultured bacterium. RNAcentral's name for it is "partial 16S ribosomal RNA". It matches the Rfam family "Bacterial small subunit ribosomal RNA", at positions 354 to 796 of the family's 1533-position model. The record is from RNAcentral.